UACGUAGGGGGCAAGCGUUAUCCGGAUUUACUGGGUGUAAAGGGGGCGCAAACGGCGAUGCAAGCCAGGAGUGAAAGCCCGGGGCCCAACCCCGGGACUGCUCUUGGAACUGCGUGGCUGGAGUGCAGGAGGGGCAGGCGGAAUUCCUGGUGUAGCGGUGAAAUGCGUAGAUAUCAGGAGGAACACCGGUGGCGAAGGCGGCCUGCUGGACUGCAACUGACGUUGAGGCCCGAAAGCGUGGGGAGCAAACAGG
Molecule: ribosomal RNA, 253 nt
Filed under: uncultured bacterium
Lineage: Bacteria
Description: partial 16S ribosomal RNA
Rfam family: Bacterial small subunit ribosomal RNA
Source: RNAcentral